GACGAACGCUGGCGGCGUGCUUAACACAUGCAAGUCGAACGGAAAGGCCCUGCUUUUGUGGGGUGCUCGAGUGGCGAACGGGUGAGUAACACGUGAGUAACCUGCCCUUGACUUUGGGAUAACUUCAGGAAACUGGGGCUAAUACCGGAUAGGAGCUCCUGCUGCAUGGUGGGGGUUGGAAAGUUUCGGCGGUUGGGGAUGGACUCGCGGCUUAUCAACUUGUUGGUGGGGUAGUGGCUUACCAAGGCUUUGACGGGUAGCCGGCCUGAGAGGGUGACCGGCCACAUUGGGACUGAGAUACGGACCAGACUCCUACGGGAGGCAGCAGUGGGGAAUAUUGCACAAUGGGCGGAAGCCUGAUGCAGCAACGCCGCGUGCGGGAUGACGGCCUUCGGGUUGUAAACCGCUUUCGCCUGUGACGAAGCGUGAGUGACGGUAAUGGGUAAAGAAGCACCGGCUAACUACGUG
This 468-nucleotide ribosomal RNA is filed under the name uncultured bacterium. Its description in RNAcentral is "partial 16S ribosomal RNA". It matches the Rfam family "Bacterial small subunit ribosomal RNA", at positions 28 to 507 of the family's 1533-position model. The record is from RNAcentral.